Molecule: ribosomal RNA, 244 nt
Filed under: uncultured bacterium
Lineage: Bacteria
Description: partial 16S ribosomal RNA
Rfam family: Bacterial small subunit ribosomal RNA
Source: RNAcentral
GACGAACGCUGGCGGCGUGCUUAACACAUGCAAGUCGAGCGGUAAGGCCCUUUCGGGGUACGACGAGCGGCGAACGGGUGAGUAACACGUGGGUGGACCUCGCCCUCCAGCUCUGGGAGUAAGACCUCGGGAAACGUAGGGUCGUAAUAACUGGAGUAUGACUCCACGGUGCAUGUCGUGGGGUGGAAAGACCUUGUGCGGCUGAGGAGUGGGCCCGGCCGGCCUAUCAGCUUGUUGGUGGGGU